GUGCCUACGGGCGGCAGCAGUGGGGAAUAUUGGACAAUGGGCGAAAGCCUGAUCCAGCCAUGCCGCGUGAGUGAUGAAGGCCCUAGGGUUGUAAAGCUCUUUCACCGGUGAAGAUAAUGACGGUAACCGGAGAAGAAGCCCCGGCUAACUUCGUGCCAGCAGCCGCGGUAAUACGAAGGGGGCUAGCGUUGUUCGGAAUUACUGGGCGUAAAGCGCACGUAGGCGGACUAUUAAGUCAGGGGUGAAAUCCCGGGGCUCAACCCCGGAACUGCCUUUGAUACUGGUAGUCUUGAGUCCGAGAGAGGUGAGUGGAAUUCCGAGUGUAGAGGUGAAAUUCGUAGAUAUUCGGAGGAACACCAGUGGCGAAGGCGGCUCACUGGCUCGGUACUGACGCUGAGGUGCGAAAGCGUGGGGAGCAAACAGGAUUAGAUACCCGAGUAGUC
This 443-nucleotide ribosomal RNA is filed under the name uncultured Mesorhizobium sp. RNAcentral's name for it is "bacterial SSU rRNA". It matches the Rfam family "Bacterial small subunit ribosomal RNA", at positions 335 to 795 of the family's 1533-position model. The record is from RNAcentral. Lineage: Bacteria; Pseudomonadati; Pseudomonadota; Alphaproteobacteria; Hyphomicrobiales; Phyllobacteriaceae.